RNAcentral lists this small RNA (601 nucleotides) under Pan troglodytes (chimpanzee). Its description in RNAcentral is "retained intron". The record is from RNAcentral. Lineage: Eukaryota; Metazoa; Chordata; Mammalia; Primates; Hominidae.
UUAGAGGAUAGGGGUUUGAUUUUGUUGGGAGAGCUGAGAUCAGGGGUUGGGUUUCUUACCUAUGUGUACAUAUGUAAAUGGUCUGUCCCUGUUUCUGUCUCUUUCUGGCUCUCACUUUCUUCCCCCACUCUUCAUCUCUGCCACUUUUUUCUCCAGAGCUUGCAUGGAGAUGGUCCCCUGCGGCUGCUGCUGCUGCCCUCUAUCCACCUUGAGGCCUUGGACCUGCUGUCUGCACUCAUCCUCGCGUGAGUGGGAUUGGGCUGGCUGUGGUGAAGGGAUAGGGCAUGCCAGAAACGAGGGUCACCAUUCCUUCUCUGCCCCAGGUGUGGAAGCCGGCUCUUGCGCUUUGGGAUCCUGAUCGGCCGCCUGCUUCCCCAGGUCCUCAAUUCCUGGAGCAUCGGUAGAGAUUCCCUCUCUCCAGGCCAGGAGAGGCCUUAUAGCACGGUUCGGACCAAGGUGUACGCGAUAUUAGAGCUGUGGGUGCAGGUUUGUGGCGCCUCGGCGGGAAUGCUUCAGGGAGGAGCCUCUGGAGAGGCCCUGCUCACCCACCUGCUCAGCGACAUCUCCCCGCCAGCUGAUGCCCUUAAGCUGCGUAGCCCGC